This 118-nucleotide small nucleolar RNA is filed under the name Sorex araneus (European shrew). The record is from RNAcentral. Lineage: Eukaryota; Metazoa; Chordata; Mammalia; Eulipotyphla; Soricidae.
UUCUAAAGUGCUAAGCACCCUGCCCAGGUUAUUAAACUUUAGGAAAAUAAGAAAUGAGCUGGAAGAGAUAAUUGGAUAAAAGGCAUUUCUCUAUUCAUUUUUCUCCCAGAUUACAAAA